CGGAGGGUGCAAGCGUUAAUCAGAAUUACUGGGCGUAAAGAGCGCGUAGGUGGUUUAAGUCAGGUGUGAAAUCCCUAGGCUCAACCUAGGAACUGCAUUUGAAACUGGAAACUAGAGUUUCGUAGAGGGAGGUAGAAUUCUAGGUGUAGCGGUGAAAUGCGUAGAUAUCUGGAGGAAUACCCGUGGCGAAAGCGGCCUCCUAAACGAACUGACACUGAGGCGCGAAAGCGUGGGGAGCAAACAGGAUU
Molecule: ribosomal RNA, 248 nt
Filed under: uncultured bacterium
Lineage: Bacteria
Description: partial 16S ribosomal RNA
Rfam family: Bacterial small subunit ribosomal RNA
Source: RNAcentral